RNAcentral lists this transfer RNA (60 nucleotides) under Rhipicephalus geigyi. RNAcentral's name for it is "tRNA-Leu". Lineage: Eukaryota; Metazoa; Arthropoda; Arachnida; Ixodida; Ixodidae. The record is from RNAcentral.
AUUAAAGUGACAGAAAAAUGUGAGGAAUUUAAGCUUCCUUUAUGAAAAUUUCCUUUAAUA